UACGGAGGGUCCGAGCGUUAUCCGGAAUCAUUGGGUUUAAAGGGUCCGUAGGCGGAUAGCUAAGUCAGGGGUGAAAGUCUGCAGCUCAACUGUAGAAUUGCCUUUGAUACUGGUUAUCUUGAAUUAUUGUGAAGUGGUUAGAAUAUGUAGUGUAGCGGUGAAAUGCAUAGAUAUUACAUAGAAUACCAAUUGCGAAGGCAGAUCACUAACAAUAUAUUGACACUGAUGGACGAAAGCGUGGGGAGCGAACAGG
RNAcentral lists this unclassified non-coding RNA (253 nucleotides) under uncultured Flavobacteriaceae bacterium. RNAcentral describes it as "contains 16S-23S intergenic spacer region". It matches the Rfam family "Bacterial small subunit ribosomal RNA", at positions 524 to 776 of the family's 1533-position model. Lineage: Bacteria; Pseudomonadati; Bacteroidota; Flavobacteriia; Flavobacteriales; Flavobacteriaceae. The record is from RNAcentral.